UGAGCAAUCUGCCCUUCUCAUCGGAAUAAGCGUUGGAAACGACGUCUAAUGCCGAAUACGACCUUCC
This 67-nucleotide ribosomal RNA is filed under the name uncultured bacterium. RNAcentral's name for it is "partial 16S ribosomal RNA". The record is from RNAcentral.